AUUUAAAUAGUUUAAUUAAAAUAUUGAUUUGUGGUGUCAAAGAUAUGAAUAUUAUUUCAUUUUAAAUC
RNAcentral lists this transfer RNA (68 nucleotides) under Pagastia sp. 1XL. RNAcentral describes it as "tRNA-His". Lineage: Eukaryota; Metazoa; Arthropoda; Insecta; Diptera; Chironomidae. The record is from RNAcentral.